Molecule: ribosomal RNA, 1456 nt
Filed under: uncultured organism
Description: 16S ribosomal RNA
Rfam family: Bacterial small subunit ribosomal RNA
Source: RNAcentral
GCGGCGUGCCUAAUACAUGCAAGUAGAACGCUGAAGAGAGGAGCUUGCUCUUCUUGGAUGAGUUGCGAACGGGUGAGUAACGCGUAGGUAACCUGCCUUGUAGCGGGGGAUAACUAUUGGAAACGAUAGCUAAUACCGCAUAACAAUGGAUGACACAUGUCAUUUAUUUGAAAGGGGCAAAUGCUCCACUACAAGAUGGACCUGCGUUGUAUUAGCUAGUAGGUGAGGUAACGGCUCACCUAGGCGACGAUACAUAGCCGACCUGAGAGGGUGAUCGGCCACACUGGGACUGAGACACGGCCCAGACUCCUACGGGAGGCAGCAGUAGGGAAUCUUCGGCAAUGGGGGCAACCCUGACCGAGCAACGCCGCGUGAGUGAAGAAGGUUUUCGGAUCGUAAAGCUCUGUUGUAAGUCAAGAACGAGUGUGAGAGUGGAAAGUUCACACUGUGACGGUAGCUUACCAGAAAGGGACGGCUAACUACGUGCCAGCAGCCGCGGUAAUACGUAGGUCCCGAGCGUUGUCCGGAUUUAUUGGGCGUAAAGCGAGCGCAGGCGGUUUGAUAAGUCUGAAGUUAAAGGCUGUGGCUCAACCAUAGUUCGCUUUGGAAACUGUCAAACUUGAGUGCAGAAGGGGAGAGUGGAAUUCCAUGUGUAGCGGUGAAAUGCGUAGAUAUAUGGAGGAACACCGGUGGCGAAAGCGGCUCUCUGGUCUGUAACUGACGCUGAGGCUCGAAAGCGUGGGGAGCGAACAGGAUUAGAUACCCUGGUAGUCCACGCCGUAAACGAUGAGUGCUAGGUGUUGGAUCCUUUCCGGGAUUCAGUGCCGCAGCUAACGCAUUAAGCACUCCGCCUGGGGAGUACGACCGCAAGGUUGAAACUCAAAGGAAUUGACGGGGGCCCGCACAAGCGGUGGAGCAUGUGGUUUAAUUCGAAGCAACGCGAAGAACCUUACCAGGUCUUGACAUCCCGAUGCUAUUUCUAGAGAUAGAAAGUUACUUCGGUACAUCGGUGACAGGUGGUGCAUGGUUGUCGUCAGCUCGUGUCGUGAGAUGUUGGGUUAAGUCCCGCAACGAGCGCAACCCCUAUUGUUAGUUGCCAUCAUUCAGUUGGGCACUCUAGCGAGACUGCCGGUAAUAAACCGGAGGAAGGUGGGGAUGACGUCAAAUCAUCAUGCCCCUUAUGACCUGGGCUACACACGUGCUACAAUGGUUGGUACAACGAGUUGCGAGUCGGUGACGGCAAGCUAAUCUCUUAAAGCCAAUCUCAGUUCGGAUUGUAGGCUGCAACUCGCCUACAUGAAGUCGGAAUCGCUAGUAAUCGCGGAUCAGCACGCCGCGGUGAAUACGUUCCCGGGCCUUGUACACACCGCCCGUCACACCACGAGAGUUUGUAACACCCGAAGUCGGUGAGGUAACCUUUUGGAGCCAGCCGCCUAAGGUGGGAUAGAUGAUUGGG